UUGUGCCCAGGUGGCCAAGAAGGCCAACAGCAUCCUGGCCUGUAUAAGCAAUAGCAUAACCAGCAGGGCCAAGGCACUGAUCAUCCCCCUGUACUGGGCACUUCACAGAGCUGAGAAGGACUCCAGACCACACUGCUUCGGUAUGCAUGCUUCAACAAAGUCAGAUUAAAGUCGCUCUCUACACUUCUAGUCUAAAAAUCUCUGGAUCCUAAGAAGAAAUUUCAGGCUGAGUGAAUUGGAAGAUUCUCCCCUAAUUUGUAAUGUGAAAUAGUUCCUAGAUGGAACAUAUGAAAAACUACUCUGUGCCCAACCCAGCAAAAUAUUAUUUAAUUAAAACCAAAUCUUUCUUUACUGUUAGGAAAGAUCUGUGUAUAAAAACAUCCAGCAUGUGUACUGUACAUCCAUGUUAUUUGUAAAUCCAUGCUCAUUCAGAAGCAAGGGAUGGUAGGCAACCUUUACAUUGUCUUUAACAUCACUGUGUAGCUUCAGUUAAUACUGAUUAUUUUGUUUCCUUUCUCUGCCCUAUACACAUUUCUGUAUUUGUAAUUCACAGUUACUAAAAGGUUAUUUGUUUCUUGUAUUUGUACUUUCCUGUUAAAUGUUUUUUGUGAAGCUUUCCAAACAACCUCUGAACUCAGACUUUGUUUCCAUUACCUGCAAAUUAUCUUCCAGAUUUUCUAUUUCUUACAACAGCAAUAGUUACUGUCAAAGAUGGUCCCUUAUGACUGUGGGACAAGUGAGUUUAUAGUUAACACAUGGCCUGUUAAUAAAUGGCCUUAGACUGACUACCUGGAAAAA
Pezoporus flaviventris is the source of this 798-nucleotide long non-coding RNA. RefSeq lists it as uncharacterized. The record is from RefSeq and is a predicted model, not a curated record. The transcript is spliced from 3 exons. NCBI's taxonomy places the organism in Eukaryota, Metazoa, Chordata, Aves, Psittaciformes, Psittacidae.